GCUGGCGGCAUGCCUUACACAUGCAAGUCGAACGGCAGCACGGGAGCUUGCUCCUGGUGGCGAGUGGCGAACGGGUGAGUAAUACAUCGGAACGUACCCAGGAGUGGGGGAUAACGUAGCGAAAGUUACGCUAAUACCGCAUAUUCUGUGAGCAGGAAAGCGGGGGAUCGCAAGACCUCGCGCUCUUGGAGCGGCCGAUGUCGGAUUAGCUAGUUGGUGAGGUAAAAGCUCACCAAGGCGACGAUCCGUAGCAGGUCUGAGAGGAUGAUCUGCCACACUGGGACUGAGACACGGCCCAGACUCCUACGGGAGGCAGCAGUGGGGAAUUUUGGACAAUGGGGGCAACCCUGAUCCAGCCAUGCCGCGUGAGUGAAGAAGGCCUUCGGGUUGUAAAGCUCUUUCGGCGGGGAAGAAAUGGCAACGGCUAAUAUCCGUUGUUGAUGACGGUACCCGCAUAAGAAGCACCGGCUAACUACGUGCCAGCAGCCGCGGUAAUACGUAGGG
Molecule: ribosomal RNA, 504 nt
Filed under: Azospira oryzae
Lineage: Bacteria; Pseudomonadati; Pseudomonadota; Betaproteobacteria; Rhodocyclales; Rhodocyclaceae
Description: bacterial SSU rRNA
Rfam family: Bacterial small subunit ribosomal RNA
Source: RNAcentral